This 369-nucleotide long non-coding RNA is filed under the name Penaeus japonicus. RNAcentral describes it as "uncharacterized LOC122260789". Lineage: Eukaryota; Metazoa; Arthropoda; Malacostraca; Decapoda; Penaeidae. The record is from RNAcentral.
ACGAAACACAGUAAAGGAAAUAAAUCAGGAAGUUGGCAAAACAGGGCCAGGCAAUCGCAUAAAUACACGAAGGAACACGAGUCGGGAUCAAAGAACCUUGACUUCUGUACGAUGAAGAUUCAAAUCCUUCUCUUCUUCUUCGUUGCGUCAGCGAUUCUCUUGGCCAAUGCGAGAGAAUACAGUUACAGAGGCCAUAGUUACAACGCCCCGCAGCUGAGAGGACAGGGUUAGCCGCCACGCCCACUAUGUUGCAGACAUGGGAGGCUUUUUGCACUGGUGCUUAAGAUCACUCUCCGGAAUGCACACAUGUCUGCAUGAAUUGGAUUAUGCAUAUAAUGUAUAACAUGAAAUGCGUGUGGUAAAAAAUCA